Molecule: long non-coding RNA, 1850 nt
Filed under: Oryza brachyantha (malo sina)
Lineage: Eukaryota; Viridiplantae; Streptophyta; Magnoliopsida; Poales; Poaceae
Description: long non-coding RNA (OBRA_LNC001696)
Source: RNAcentral
UUUUUAAAUGUUACUUUACUCUUUUUAUUCAGUCUAUUUUAUCUACUGUUUUGCUAAAUUACUGCUGCUUUAUGCAAUUUAACCUUAGUCUGUCCUUAAUCCCAUGUUGCAUUCAUUAUUUUCCUCUCUUCGGUGAGUACGGUGGUUUGUACUCAGCCUUGUUUAAUUUUUUCCCACCAGAGUAAGCGCCAGAGUUUUAGUCAAAAGGUGUUUUCGAAGGUUGAAGUGAGGUUCAGUCCGCCAUUAAGAAUGCCUGUGGUGUGGAGCUGUCAUCGUCAGCUGGAGCUUAAGAUUAGAUGGUUUAGUUUGUUUUCUUUUUGCACUGCAUUUCAAUAGAUAACUAUUUUUAUUUGUUUUUAAGCCUAGAUGGUUGAGUUUUUAACUGUGUAUUAAUUUGUCAUAGUGUGUACUCGGGCUGAUUCCUGGACCGAGAUUUAAUGCAUGCUAUUGUUCAGAAAUUUAGUGUAAAUUUCUGGACGUGACACCGAACUACUAAACGGUGUAUUUUUUUGCAAAAAAAAUCUAUAGAAAAGUUGUUUUAAAAAAUCAUAUUAAUCUAUUUUCUAUAGAAAAGUUUUGCAAGAAAUACACCGUUUAAUAGUUUGAAAAGCGUGUGCGCGGAAACGAGGGUCUAAGAUAACUUAGCCCUUCUGUCGAACUAGGGGUGGUUAUCGAGCCAUCUCGGCUCGGGCUCAGUCUAGCUCGUUAAGAUAAGCUCGUUAUCGUAACGAGAUAGAAACCUAGCUCGGCUCGACUCGUUGAAAAGCUCGAACUGGCUCGUAAGCUAAUGCUCAUAAAAUUGGUCCCAAACAAAUUUGCAGCAAGUUAUACAAUCAAACAUACAAAUAAACAUGCAAACCCAUCAGCGAUUCAGCACGCAUGCACGUAUCGCCAUGAACGACCAACCAACUAACCAAACACGCGCAUGAAUGCAUGAUCUGCACUUGGAGGAAGCAGUCGUGGUCUCAUGGAUGAACAUGCGGACGAUGCCGGCGCCGACGCCGGGGUUCUGCCGAACGGCCUUCCCGACCACGUCCCUCAGGAACCUCACGACGUACUCGGCUCUCAGCCACACCUGGCCGUCGCCACCAUGACCAGCACGCACGCCACCCAAUCGAACUGGGCCCUGGGAGAGCCGGCAGCAGAGCUGGGGGCUUGGUGCCUGGCCACCUGCGAUAGGCGGUGGCGCGCCGGCGGCGGAGGCGGCGCCGCUGGUGGCGAAGGGGGGAGAUCCGGCGGCUUGUAGCUGUGGUCGCACGUCGGGAGGCUGGGUCUGGGUGGGAGGAGAGGGACGAGCCGAGGAAGACUGGGGCGGCGGCGGCGGUGGACUGCUGGAAGUGUACAAGCGUAGUACUUUGCCUAGGGUUUUCUCUUCCUUAUUGGGCUAUGACCUCAUUGGGCUGUGGCCUGUGGGCCUGUGGUAUGUGUGGUGGCUCGUUAACGAGCUAAAAUGCUAGUUUAGCUUGUUAGAAAAAUAAAAUGAGUCGAGUCGAGCCGAGCCGUGCUUGGCACGAGUCGAGUGAGCUAACGAGCUACGAGUUUUCUGUCCACCCCUAUGCCGAACGCGGCCUAGGGAGGUCGGUGGACACCCUAUUUGUGUUUGGCACAAGGAACAUGGGGGAAGCCACAAGAUGUGGAUUCAGUAGGUUGGUGGAGAAGAAGGCGAUGCAUGGAAGAAAUCCUAUGAACUUGAUGUUUAUACAUAGUCAGGUUACACAAAAUGUUAGAUAUAUAGUUAUAUACGUUCAGAGAUAAUAAAGUCGUAUAGAAAAUUUAGAGAUAAAGGUAGAAUCAUGGAGAAAAAGAUAAAAAAAUUUGUCUUGUACUCUAAAUUCUCUCAUAUAUAGACC